GGGAUUGGGUACACCUGUCACAAAUUAGCUCCAGUCCCUAACUGACAAGGUUGAAGCUUAAGGGGACUUCUCAGUACACAAAUUGAUGCUUUUUUCGUUUCCUCGCUCCUCCGUCCUCCAGCCCGUGACCCGGAAAUCGAUCGAAGUCAACCAUCUUGAAGGACAUCUCAGUUCUCUAAUUGCACCGCGAGGAGGCGAGGAACAAGAAGUGAGGAAGCUUCCAGAGGAGCUAGGAGCCAGAACACACAGAUAAAAGAAAUUAAACCUUAUGCAAGCACUGGCUUACUCACAAAUGAAAACAUAGUACAGAUUGUUUUUCCGAGUCAUGAUGGCCAUCGCAAUGUACAACAGCCUGAAGAGAAAUCGUUUCAGUGCAGCUAUGAAGGAUGUGGCAAACUUUACACCACAGCAUAUCACCUCAAGGAGUACAUGGAAGAGUACACACAGGUGACAAGCCUUACUGCUGUGACAAACCUGGCUGUGGAAAAAAAGUUUGCAACAGGGCAAUAAUUAAGAAGUUCCAGUCAACUGGAAAUGUUAUGAAUCAACCUGGAAUUGCACGUGUGUCUAUAUCGUCUCAACGCACUGUGAUGAGGACGGUUCAAGUCGCCAAAACCAGGCCGGUAUCAUUAACUUCAAUAGUUCAUUACUUUGAGAAAAUGGUUCAAAACAUUAUGCUUCCAUAUGUUUCACCCUUUUUGGAUUGCCUCCAAUUUGCAUAUAAGUGGAAGAGAGGUACAGAGGAUACAGUGGCUUGUCUCUUCCACGGACUUCUUCAACACCUGGAUAUUCCCGGAAAUUAUGCCAGACUUCUUUUCAUUGACUUUAGCUCCGCCUUUUUGUGAAUUCAGCAUCAUCUGCUAAUCAAGAAACUACAGUGUCUGCAAAUUCAAUCGCCACUAGUACAGUGGAUUUUAUAAUUUCCUUUCUAAAGACCACAAGUGGUAAAGGUGGACAAUGCAUUAUCGCCCAUUACUGUUCUCAACACUGGUGCCCCUCAGGGGUGUGUACUUAAUUCACUUCUCUAUACAAAUGACUGUCAAGAGUCCAGUCACCACCACUCAUUACUUUAAGUAUGCAGAUGAUACUGACAUUCUUGCAUUGCUUAAUAAAGACAAUGAGUCUUUUUUUUGGACUAUGAACGCUCCAUAGCACAUUUUAGUACAUGGUGUGAUGAUAACUUUCUCCACCUUAAUAUCAAAAAGGCUAAGGAACUGGUUUUUAGCUCUUCCAAAACACUGACCCAUCCUUCCAGUAUUAUCAUUAGCGGAGAGAUGGUUCAAUCAGCACACUCUAUGUAUUAACAAGUGCUGUCAACAGAAACUAACAAGUUAUUUGUAAACUUAAAUAUCUGUCUGUUUAGCCUAGUCUGCUUCUUCUUCUGUAUCAAAGUAUUAUUGAGCCGGUUCUUAUGUAUGGUGCCAUUUUGUUUUUUCCAUAUGCUAACAGUUACCAGUAAGAACAAACUCUUGAAGAUAACUAAUUUAUCGAGGAAAAAUUAUUGGUAUUCCCACCCCCAAUUGAUCGGACUGUGUCGUUUCAUAUAUGUUCCGGAAAGCACAUAAAAUUUUAAAUGAUCCAGACCACCCACUUUAUCAAUAUUUCAACCCCCUUCCUUCUGGCCACAGGUAUAGACUACCCAUGUGCAGAAAGGUCAACUAUGGUAGGAGUUUUGUUCCUAUGGCAAUACAAGCGUUAAACACAUAGCUAAUCAGCCAUUGUGAUGCCAUCUUAUGCUCGGGCAUUUGUUGUAUGAUCCUGAUGUUUUCUUUUUGUUCCCUUCUCUCCUCUAUGCCUGUGAUUGUUUACGAUGGUUAAUGUGUAUGGUGUUGUUGUGUUUGUUUUUCUACACACCCACAGUGGAAACAAAUUUCCUAUAAUUUCCAAAUAAAU
This is a long non-coding RNA of Ictalurus punctatus (channel catfish), 1893 nucleotides long. RefSeq lists it as uncharacterized. The transcript has 5 exons. Lineage: Eukaryota; Metazoa; Chordata; Actinopteri; Siluriformes; Ictaluridae. The record is from RefSeq and is a predicted model, not a curated record.